GGAGGGUGCAAGCGUUAUCCGGAUUCACUGGGUUUAAAGGGUGCGUAGGUGGGCAAGUAAGUCAGUGGUGAAAUCUCCGGGCUUAACCCGGAGACUGCCAUUGAUACUAUUUGUCUUGAGUACUGUGGAGGUCAGCGGAAUAUAUCAUGUAGCGGUGAAAUGCUUAGAUAUGACAUAGAACACCAAUUGCGAAGGCAGCUGGCUACACAAAUAUUGACACUGAGGCACGAAAGCGUGGGGAUCAAACAGGAUUAGAUACCCUGGUAGUCCACGCCCUAAACUAUGGAUACUCGACAUUUGCGAUAAACUGCAAGUGUCUGAGCGAAAGCAUUAAGUAUCCCACCUGGGAAGUACGAUCGCAAGAUUG
This 367-nucleotide ribosomal RNA is filed under the name uncultured bacterium. RNAcentral's name for it is "bacterial SSU rRNA". It matches the Rfam family "Bacterial small subunit ribosomal RNA", at positions 527 to 896 of the family's 1533-position model. The record is from RNAcentral.